AAAGAAACCAACAGGGAUUGCCUUAGUAACGGCGAGUGAAGCGGCAAAAGCUCAAAUUUGAAAUCUGGGGUCUUUGGCCUCCGAGUUGUAAUUUGAAGAAAGUAUCUUUGGAUUUAGCCUUUUUCUAAGUUCCUUGGAACAGGACUUCAUAGAGGGUGAGAAUCCCGUAUGGAGAAGUGUCUAUUUCUAUGUAAAGUGCUUUCGACGAGUCGAGUUGUUUGGGAAUGCAGCUCUAAGUGGGUGGUAAAUUCCAUCUAAAGCUAAAUAUUGGCGAGAGACCGAUAGCGAACAAGUACAGUGAUGGAAAGAUGAAAAGAACUUUGAAAAGAGAGUGAAAAAGUACGUGAAAUUGUUAAAAGGGAAGGGCUUCAGAUCAGACUUGAUGUUUAGUGAUCCAUCUUCCUUUUUGGUUGGUGCACGCGCUUUUCAUUGGGCCAACAUCGAUUUGAGUGGUAGGAUAAUGCCGUUGGAAUGUAGCUUCAUUCGUGAAGUGUUAUAGACUUCGGUGAUACUGCCCAUUUGGAUCGAGGACUGCGUCUUUUGACUAGGAUGUUGGCGUAAUGAUCUGAAGCCGCCCGUCUU
RNAcentral lists this ribosomal RNA (582 nucleotides) under Sporopachydermia sp. RNAcentral's name for it is "partial large subunit ribosomal RNA". It matches the Rfam family "Eukaryotic large subunit ribosomal RNA", at positions 58 to 655 of the family's 3401-position model. Lineage: Eukaryota; Fungi; Ascomycota; Sporopachydermiomycetes; Sporopachydermiales; Sporopachydermiaceae. The record is from RNAcentral.